Non-coding RNA from Lasallia pustulata, 77 nucleotides. NCBI's taxonomy places the organism in Eukaryota, Fungi, Ascomycota, Lecanoromycetes, Umbilicariales, Umbilicariaceae. The record is from Rfam.
GAAAGCGGUAUGACGGGAGACUGUCACGUACCGUUUGGGGGGCGGCAGUCGACGCAAGAAGACGAGGCCGACCCCAC